UGGCGGCCUCGGGUCCAUCCCGAGGCCACGCCCGUCUGAGGGUCGGCGAGUCAGACAAGCUAUCGCCUCCUUUCUUGGCAGCAGGCUUCUCCACAAAAAGCGUUCGAUUUCCCGAUCAUUUCCUUGCUCUGGAGUGACGACGAAUCGUUCGCUAGAAUGUGGCUGGGGCCGUGGAGGUGCUUUGGGUUUUCGCGGAUUACUUGUGAUCCCCGUGACUUUAAGUGUAUGUUGCGUCGUCUGUUCUCUCCUAACCGACGCCGCCGGCCAUUGUGCUGGACUCGGAUUGAUCGGAAAUCAUCGAGCCGCCGGUGUGCUGUAGGCUGCGGUGUGUUGGAAGGAAUGAAGCUCAUGGCGGCGCCCAGAUAAAGCAAAGCAGCUACGCGUGCCCCCGCACAGCGCCGCUGGCUUUUGUUUCAUAUAUCCGACCUCAGAUCGGACGAGAUUACCCGCUGAAUUUAAGCAUAUAACUAAGCGGAGGAAAAGAAACUAACAAGGAUUCCCCCAGUAACGGCGAGUGAAGCGGGAAUAGCCCAGCACCGAAUCCCUCAGUGUCAUGCUGACGGGAACUGUGGUGUGUGGGACGCCACCAGUCGCAUCAGAGGGCGCCGAAGUCCUCCUGAUCGGGGCUUCACCCAGAGCGGGUGUAAGGCCUUUGCGGGUGCCUCUCUGUGCGGCCGCGAGCGUCUCAGGAGUCGGGUUGUUUGGGAAUGCAGCCCAAAGCGGGUGGUAAACUCCAUCUAAGGCUAAAUACUGGCACGAGUCCGAUAGCGGA
The sequence is a ribosomal RNA, 772 nucleotides long. The stretch from base 423 to 772 matches the Rfam family "Eukaryotic large subunit ribosomal RNA", at positions 1 to 344 of the family's 3401-position model.